Transfer RNA from Monodelphis domestica (gray short-tailed opossum), 73 nucleotides. It matches the Rfam family "tRNA". From Rfam's summary of the family: Transfer RNA (tRNA) molecules are approximately 80 nucleotides in length. Their secondary structure includes four short double-helical elements and three loops (D, anti-codon, and T loops). The record is from Rfam. Lineage: Eukaryota; Metazoa; Chordata; Mammalia; Didelphimorphia; Didelphidae.
GGUCCUGUGGUGUAGUGGUUAUCACGCCUGCUUUACACGCAGAAGGUCCCGGGUUCGAUUCCCGGUAGGACCA